AGUGAACGCUGGCGGCAGGCCUAAUACAUGCAAGUCGAACGGCAGCACAGUAAGAGCUCGCCCUUACGGGUGGCGAGUGGCGGACGGGUGAGGCAUACAUCGCAAUCUACUUUUUCGUGGGGGACAACGUAGGGAAACUUACGCUAAUACCGCAUACGACCUACGGGUGAAAGCAGGGGAUCUUCGGACCUUGCGCGAUACAUUGAGCCGGUGUCGGAUUAGCUAGUUGGCGGGGUAAAGGCCCACCAAGGCGACGAUCCGUAGCUGGUCUGAGAGGAUGAUCAGCCACACUGGAACUGAGACACGGUCCAGACUCCUACGGGAGGCAGCAGUAGGGAAUAUUGGGCAAUGGGCGCAAGCCUGACCCAGCAAUACCGCGUGGGUGAAGAAGGCCUUCGGGUUGUAAAGCCCUUUUGUUGGGAAAGAAAAGCAGCAGGUUAAUCCCCCGCUGUUCUGACGGUACCCAAAGAAUAAGCACCGGCUAACUUCGUG
This 492-nucleotide ribosomal RNA is filed under the name uncultured bacterium. RNAcentral's name for it is "partial 16S ribosomal RNA". It matches the Rfam family "Bacterial small subunit ribosomal RNA", at positions 29 to 507 of the family's 1533-position model. The record is from RNAcentral.